RNAcentral lists this ribosomal RNA (581 nucleotides) under Aneurinibacillus aneurinilyticus. Its description in RNAcentral is "bacterial SSU rRNA". It matches the Rfam family "Bacterial small subunit ribosomal RNA", at positions 65 to 636 of the family's 1533-position model. Lineage: Bacteria; Bacillati; Bacillota; Bacilli; Caryophanales; Paenibacillaceae. The record is from RNAcentral.
AGCGGACCAAAGAAGAGCUUGCUCUUCGGCGGUUAGCGGCGGACGGGUGAGUAACACGUAGGCAACCUGCCUGUACGACUGGGAUAACUCCGGGAAACCGGAGCUAAUACCGGAUACGUUUUUCAGACCGCAUGGUCUGAAAGAGAAAGACCUUUGGUCACGUACAGAUGGGCCUGCGGCGCAUUAGCUAGUUGGUGGGGUAACGGCCUACCAAGGCGACGAUGCGUAGCCGACCUGAGAGGGUGAUCGGCCACACUGGGACUGAGACACGGCCCAGACUCCUACGGGAGGCAGCAGUAGGGAAUCUUCCGCAAUGGACGAAAGUCUGACGGAGCAACGCCGCGUGAACGAUGAAGGUUUUCGGAUCGUAAAGUUCUGUUGUUAGGGAAGAACCGCCGGGAUGACCUCCCGGUCUGACGGUACCUAACGAGAAAGCCCCGGCUAACUACGUGCCAGCAGCCGCGGUAAUACGUAGGGGGCAAGCGUUGUCCGGAAUUAUUGGGCGUAAAGCGCGCGCAGGCGGCUUCUUAAGUCAGGUGUGAAAGCCCACGGCUCAACCGUGGAGGGCCACUUGAAACUGG